This 404-nucleotide ribosomal RNA is filed under the name Erythrobacter sp. S98. RNAcentral describes it as "bacterial SSU rRNA". It matches the Rfam family "Bacterial small subunit ribosomal RNA", at positions 29 to 478 of the family's 1533-position model. Lineage: Bacteria; Pseudomonadati; Pseudomonadota; Alphaproteobacteria; Sphingomonadales; Erythrobacteraceae. The record is from RNAcentral.
AACGAACGCUGGCGGCAUGCCUAACACAUGCAAGUCGAACGAACCCUUCGGGGUUAGUGGCGCACGGGUGCGUAACGCGUGGGAACCUGCCUUUAGGUUCGGAAUAACAGUUAGAAAUGACUGCUAAUACCGGAUAAUGUCUUCGGACCAAAGAUUUAUCGCCUUUAGAUGGGCCCGCGUUAGAUUAGAUAGUUGGUGGGGUAACGGCCUACCAAGUCGACGAUCUAUAGCUGGUCUGAGAGGAUGAUCAGCCACACUGGGACUGAGACACGGCCCAGACUCCUACGGGAGGCAGCAGUGGGGAAUAUUGGACAAUGGGCGAAAGCCUGAUCCAGCAAUGCCGCGUGAGUGAUGAAGGCCUUAGGGUUGUAAAGCUCUUUUACCAGGGAUGAUAAUGACAGUAC